GACGUAGGAGGCGAGCGUUAUCCGGAUUCACUGGGCGUAAAGCGCAUGUAGGCGGUUGGACAAGUCGUGUGUUAAAGCCCCUGGCUCAACUGGGGGAGGUCAUGCGAGACUGUGCGACUUGAGGGCAAGAGAGGCACGUGGAAUUCCGGGUGUAGUGGUGGAAUGCGUAGAGAUCCGGAGGAACACCAGCGGCGAAGGCGGCGUCCUGGACUGGUACUGACGCUCAGGAGCGAAAGCGUGGGGAGCGAUCCGG
Molecule: ribosomal RNA, 253 nt
Filed under: uncultured bacterium
Lineage: Bacteria
Description: partial 16S ribosomal RNA
Rfam family: Bacterial small subunit ribosomal RNA
Source: RNAcentral